Molecule: ribosomal RNA, 254 nt
Filed under: uncultured bacterium
Lineage: Bacteria
Description: partial 16S ribosomal RNA
Rfam family: Bacterial small subunit ribosomal RNA
Source: RNAcentral
GACAGAGGCCUCAAGCGUUAGGCGGAAUCACUGGGCUUAAAGCGUGUGUAGGCGGACGCCUAAGUGUCUUGUGAAAUCCCCCCGGCUCACCCGGGGAACUGCUGGGCAUACUGGGCGUCUUGGGCCAACUAGGGGCAACUGGAACAAGCGGUGGAGCGGUGAAAUGCGUAGAUAUCAGGAGGAACACCGGUGGCGAAGGCGGGUCUCUGGGCCGAUAUUGACGCUGAGGAGCGAAAGCGUGGGGAGCGAACAGG